RNAcentral lists this ribosomal RNA (468 nucleotides) under uncultured bacterium. RNAcentral describes it as "partial 16S ribosomal RNA". It matches the Rfam family "Bacterial small subunit ribosomal RNA", at positions 29 to 507 of the family's 1533-position model. The record is from RNAcentral.
AACGAACGCUGGCGGCGUGCUUAACACAUGCAAGUCGAACGGUGAAGCUCCAGCUUGCUGGAGUGGAUCAGUGGCGAACGGGUGAGUAACACGUGAGCAACCUGCCCCUGACUCUGGAAUAAGCGCUGGAAACGGCGUCUAAUACUGGAUACGAGAAGGGUCAGCAUGGGGACUUUCUGGAAAGUUCUUCGGUUGGGGAUGGGCUCGCGGCCUAUCAGCUUGUUGGUGAGGUAAUGGCUCACCAAGGCGACGACGGGUAGCCGGCCUGAGAGGGCGACCGGCCACCCUGGGACUGAGACACGGACCAGACUCCUACGGGAGGCAGCAGUGGGGAAUAUUGCACAAUGGGCGAAAGCCUGAUGCAGCGACGCCGCGUGCGGGAUGACGGCCUUCGGGUUGUAAACCUCUUUCAGCAGGGAAGAAGCGAAAGUGACGGUACCUGCAGAAGAAGCACCGGCUAACUACGUG